GCGUUUAUGGUGUAAUGGUCAGCAUGGCCGCCUUCCAAGCGGCCGAUUCGGGUUCGAUUCCCGAUAAACGCA
Strongyloides venezuelensis is the source of this 72-nucleotide transfer RNA. It matches the Rfam family "tRNA". From Rfam's summary of the family: Transfer RNA (tRNA) molecules are approximately 80 nucleotides in length. The record is from Rfam. NCBI's taxonomy places the organism in Eukaryota, Metazoa, Nematoda, Chromadorea, Rhabditida, Strongyloididae.